GACGAACGCUGGCGGCGUGCCUAAUACAUGCAAGUCGAGCGGACAGAAGGGAGCUUGCUCCCGGAUGUUAGCGGCGGACGGGUGAGUAACACGUGGGUAACCUGCCUGUAAGACUGGGAUAACUCCGGGAAACCGGAGCUAAUACCGGAUAGUUCCUUGAACCGCAUGGUUCAAGGAUGAAAGACGGUUUCGGCUGUCACUUACAGAUGGACCCGCGGCGCAUUAGCUAGUUGGUGAGGUAACGGCUCACCAAGGCGACGAUGCGUAGCCGACCUGAGAGGGUGAUCGGCCACACUGGGACUGAGACAGGCCCAGACUCCUACGGGAGGCAGCAGUAGGGAAUCUUCCGCAAUGGACGAAAGUCUGACGGAGCAACGCCGCGUGAGUGAUGAAGGUUUUCGGAUCGUAAAGCUCUGUUGUUAGGGAAGAACAAGUGCAAGAGUAACUGCUUGCACCUUGACGGUACCUAACCAGAAAGCCACGGCUAACUACGUGCCAGCAGCCGCGGUAAUACGUAGGCGGCAAGCGUUGUCCGGAAUUAUUGGGCGUAAAGGGCUCGCAGGCGGUUUCUUAAGUCUGAUGUGAAAGCCCCCGGCUCAACCGGGGAGGGUCAUUGGAAACUGGGAAACUUGAGUGCAGAAGAGGAGAGUGGAAUUCCACGUGUAGCGGUGAAAUGCGUAGAGAUGUGGAGGAACACCAGUGGCGAAGGCGACUCUCUGGUCUGUAACUGACGCUGAGGAGCGAAAGCGUGGGGAGCGAACAGGAUUAGAUACCCUGGUAGUCCACGCCGUAAACGAUGAGUGCUAAGUGUUAGGGGGUUUCCGCCCCUUAGUGCUGCAGCUAACGCAUUAAGCACUCCGCCUGGGGAGUACGGUCGCAAGACUGAAGCUCAAAGGAAUUGACGGGGGCCCGCACAAGCGGUGGAGCAUGUGGUUUAAUUCGAAGCAACGCGAAGAACCUUACCAGGUCUUGACAUCCUCUGACAACCCUAGAGAUAGGGCUUUCCCUUCGGGGACAGAGUGACAGGUGGUGCAUGGUUGUCGUCAGCUCGUGUCGUGAGAUGUUGGGUUAAGUCCCGCAACGAGCGCAACCCUUGAUCUUAGUUGCCAGCAUUCAGUUGGGCACUCUAAGGUGACUGCCGGUGACAAACCGGAGGAAGGUGGGGAUGACGUCAAAUCAUCAUGCCCCUUAUGACCUGGGCUACACACGUGCUACAAUGGACAGAACAAAGGGCUGCGAGACCGCAAGGUUUAGCCAAUCCCACAAAUCUGUUCUCAGUUCGGAUCGCAGUCUGCAACUCGACUGCGUGAAGCUGGAAUCGCUAGUAAUCGCGGAUCAGCAUGCCGCGGUGAAUACGUUCCCGGGCCUUGUACACACCGCCCGUCACACCACGAGAGUUUGCAACACCCGAAGUCGGUGAGGUAACCUUUAUGGAGCCAGCCGCCGAAGGUGGGGCAGAUGAUUGGGGUG
Molecule: ribosomal RNA, 1470 nt
Filed under: Bacillus sp. A2083
Lineage: Bacteria; Bacillati; Bacillota; Bacilli; Caryophanales; Bacillaceae
Description: bacterial SSU rRNA
Rfam family: Bacterial small subunit ribosomal RNA
Source: RNAcentral